This is a long non-coding RNA of Trematomus bernacchii (emerald rockcod), 943 nucleotides long. RefSeq lists it as uncharacterized. The transcript is spliced from 4 exons. The record is from RefSeq and is a predicted model, not a curated record. Lineage: Eukaryota; Metazoa; Chordata; Actinopteri; Perciformes; Nototheniidae.
GUCAUAAUAAGGCAGUUGACUUUCCGAUCUGCUGGAGAAACAUUCACAACUGAUUUGCAGAAUAGAUUCAUCUGCAGCGUUUAAAGCACGAGCCUCACUAAUAGAGACAACACUUAACCCUAUUUACCAACGACAAUUUUCUUCGUUCCGCUCCUUGACGGUGAUUUUGUUCAGUAAUGGAUCAAUCUUCAACACCAUGAAUCUUAAAUUUGCAUCCACAUCAGUUCCUAGUGGCAGUCAGAUUGGAAACAUUUUGGCUGAUGCAGCUUCAAGCAUCACAGCCUUCAACAUUGAACCUGCCUCCAUUUUUUUGGAUGGCGCACAAGUUUCAAAUGGAGUAAGCCACAAGAUGAGUCUCAUCACUGCAUCCUUCCUUGUGCUGCUGUCAUGGCUACUGUCAAGCUUUCAAUAGUGCAGGGCUCAUGUCUGUUAAGUGAAAUACAAUUACAGAAAGCCUUACAUAACUGUAUUGUAUAUCAGACGCAUCACAUAUAACAACAUUUUAACUUAUUGUGCAGAUAUAAUUUACAGAUAUAACAUUAAAAUUGAACACAGUGCCUUGUAUUAUUAUCCAGUAACUUUUCUUAUUUCUAUCUUUUUAUAUUAUCAUACAUAAGUUAUGUGUAUUCUGUGAGCUUACCUGUAUUUUUGUAAAAAACAAGGUCUUCUUGAUGAUCGGAACACAAAAGAUAUGUUAUGUUUUUAGCAUCCGAAGAUAAAAACAAGGUGUAUCUCAAUAAGUUGAAAAUGCUUCCAUUAAAGGCACUGAAGAUAAGUACAAACAAUCAAACACUGUCUUAUUGUUUCUAAAAACCUUUUCUUCCAAUCUGUUAUUCUCAAUAUGGUUAUAUAUAAGUUAUUCAGGAUUUUCCAGAAAUAAAAUGGCUGCAUGUCGAUUCACAAUGGCCCUGGUUUAAAUGAAUAAAGAAAUAGUCUCAGCUGU